Molecule: ribosomal RNA, 386 nt
Filed under: Matthewsius rossi
Lineage: Eukaryota; Metazoa; Arthropoda; Insecta; Coleoptera; Scarabaeidae
Description: partial large subunit ribosomal RNA
Rfam family: Eukaryotic large subunit ribosomal RNA
Source: RNAcentral
GAGUCAUUGGGACUCGAUUAAACCUAAAGGCGCAAUGAAAGUAAAGGUCCGCCUCGCGCGGACCGAGGGAGGAUGGGUCGGCCUACGUGUCGGCCCCGCACUCCCGGGGCGUCUCGUUCUCAUCGCGAGAAGAGGCGCACCCAGAGCGUACACGCUGGGACCCGAAAGAUGGUGAACUAUGCCUGGUCAGGACGAAGUCAGGGGAAACCCUGAUGGAGGUCCGUAGCGAUUCUGACGUGCAAAUCGAUCGUCGGAACUGGGUAUAGGGGCGAAAGACUAAUCGAACCUUCUAGUAGCUGGUUCCCUCCGAAGUUUCCCUCAGGAUAGCUGGCGCUCGCCUUUGCGAGUCUCAUUCGGUAAAGCGAAUGAUUAGAGGCAUUGGGGUC